Molecule: small RNA, 106 nt
Filed under: Flavobacterium sp.
Lineage: Bacteria; Pseudomonadati; Bacteroidota; Flavobacteriia; Flavobacteriales; Flavobacteriaceae
Description: 6S RNA
Rfam family: 6S-Flavo RNA
Source: RNAcentral
ACUCAACAUUAACAUUUUAAAAUGAGUAAAUCGUCACUACUAAAGCAUGCUGCCUUGCGCAGAAACUUGAACAGUGAGUUAGCUCAAAACUUGUCUUUACGAGUUU